Molecule: unclassified non-coding RNA, 166 nt
Filed under: soil metagenome
Description: partial contains 5.8S ribosomal RNA, internal transcribed spacer 2, and large subunit ribosomal RNA
Source: RNAcentral
AACGCACGAGACCUGCGGACCUGCGGAGGGAUCGUUAGUGAACGCCCUCACGGGCUUAUAACUAUUCCAAACCUCUGUGAACCGUGCCCUUCGGGGCUAUUUUACAAACAUGGUGUAAUGAACGUCAUAUAUCAUAACAAAACAAAACUUUCAACAAUGGAUCUCU